UACGUAGGCAGCGAGCGUUGUUCGGAGUUACUGGGCGUAAAGGGCGUGUAGGCGGUUCUUUAAGUUUGGUGUGAAAUCUCCCGGCUCAACCGGGAGGGUGCGCCGAAAACUGGGGGACUAGAGUGCGGGAUGGGAGAGUAGAAUUCCUGGUGUAGCGGUGAAAUGCGUAGAUAUCUGGAGGAACACCGGUGGCGAAGGCGGCAUCCUGGACCGGUAUUGACGCUGAGGCGCGAAAGCCAGGGGAGCAAACGGG
RNAcentral lists this ribosomal RNA (253 nucleotides) under uncultured bacterium. RNAcentral's name for it is "partial 16S ribosomal RNA". It matches the Rfam family "Bacterial small subunit ribosomal RNA", at positions 524 to 776 of the family's 1533-position model. The record is from RNAcentral.